CGAUCUUGCUGCAUUGGCUUCAGUUAACACUCUCAUCUCCAAUCUAAGUUGAUUUUCAACCAUCCAUCAGGAUCUCCAGUGGCAAGGUAUUGAUUUUGUUUAUCAGUAGACAUAACAAUGGAUCCAACUCCAGCAUGAGCCAAAAAUUCAGCCAGAAGUUCUUUCUUAAAUGUGUCCCAGAACCUGACAUAACCAGAUGCUCCACAUGAUACAAGGUUAGCACCUCCUAUUACAUAGGGGAAGUCUAAUUAGGAAAAUAAACCCAGAAAUCCAAAGUGGCUUCUCCCAGCAGCU
RNAcentral lists this long non-coding RNA (294 nucleotides) under Cricetulus griseus (Chinese hamster). Its description in RNAcentral is "lncRNA (ENSCGRG00000025591.1)". Lineage: Eukaryota; Metazoa; Chordata; Mammalia; Rodentia; Cricetidae. The record is from RNAcentral.